This 606-nucleotide ribosomal RNA is filed under the name Pseudomonas koreensis. RNAcentral describes it as "bacterial SSU rRNA". It matches the Rfam family "Bacterial small subunit ribosomal RNA", at positions 51 to 652 of the family's 1533-position model. Lineage: Bacteria; Pseudomonadati; Pseudomonadota; Gammaproteobacteria; Pseudomonadales; Pseudomonadaceae. The record is from RNAcentral.
ACACAUGCAAGUCGAGCGGAUGAAAGGAGCUUGCUCCUGGAUUCAGCGGCGGACGGGUGAGUAAUGCCUAGGAAUCUGCCUGGUAGUGGGGGACAACGUUUCGAAAGGAACGCUAAUACCGCAUACGUCCUACGGGAGAAAGCAGGGGACCUUCGGGCCUUGCGCUAUCAGAUGAGCCUAGGUCGGAUUAGCUAGUUGGUGAGGUAAUGGCUCACCAAGGCGACGAUCCGUAACUGGUCUGAGAGGAUGAUCAGUCACACUGGAACUGAGACACGGUCCAGACUCCUACGGGAGGCAGCAGUGGGGAAUAUUGGACAAUGGGCGAAAGCCUGAUCCAGCCAUGCCGCGUGUGUGAAGAAGGUCUUCGGAUUGUAAAGCACUUUAAGUUGGGAGGAAGGGUUGUAGAUUAAUACUCUGCAAUUUUGACGUUACCGACAGAAUAAGCACCGGCUAACUCUGUGCCAGCAGCCGCGGUAAUACAGAGGGUGCAAGCGUUAAUCGGAAUUACUGGGCGUAAAGCGCGCGUAGGUGGUUUGUUAAGUUGGAUGUGAAAUCCCCGGGCUCAACCUGGGAACUGCAUCCAAAACUGGCAAGCUAGAGUAUGGU